RNAcentral lists this ribosomal RNA (482 nucleotides) under uncultured bacterium. Its description in RNAcentral is "partial 16S ribosomal RNA". It matches the Rfam family "Bacterial small subunit ribosomal RNA", at positions 30 to 507 of the family's 1533-position model. The record is from RNAcentral.
AUUGAACGCUGGCGGCAUGCCUUACACAUGCAAAUCGAACGGUAACGGGCCUUCGGGUGCCGACGAGUGGCGAACGGGUGAGUAAUACAUCGGAACGUGCCCGAUCGUGGGGGGUAACGAGGCGAAAGCUUUGCUAAUACCGCAUACGAUCUACGGAUGAAAGCAGGGGACCGCAAGGCCUUGCGCGGACGGAGCGGCCGAUGGCAGAUUAGGUAGUUGGUGGGAUAAAAGCUUACCAAGCCGACGAUCUGUAGCUGGUCUGAGAGGAUGAUCAGCCACACUGGGACUGAGACACGGCCCAGACUCCUACGGGAGGCAGCAGUGGGGAAUUUUGGACAAUGGGCGCAAGCCUGAUCCAGCCAUGCCGCGUGCAGGAUGAAGGCCUUCGGGUUGUAAACUGAUUUUGUACGGAACGAAAAGCCUUCUUUUAAUACAGGAGGGUCAUGACGGUACCGUAAGAAUAAGCACCGGCUAACUACGUG